Molecule: long non-coding RNA, 341 nt
Organism: Juglans microcarpa x Juglans regia
Lineage: Eukaryota; Viridiplantae; Streptophyta; Magnoliopsida; Fagales; Juglandaceae
Exons: 3
Source: RefSeq, a predicted model, not a curated record
UGUAAGGCCCAGUUUCUUCAUCAAAGUGGCCCGGACCGUGCGUGAAAAUGGCCCAGCCAUUUUAGUGCUUAGUAAGACCACCGAACGGCGUCGUUUUGGGAAGUGACGAGACGGAUAGAGACCGUAUUCAAGUCAUAGAUUAUACACUGCAGGAGUCAGAUGAUGUGGUGAGUCCAAAUGAGGACCUGGAUUAGAAUGUUGUUUGUGUUUAAGCUAAGGAUAUGUUGGUAGAAGAAGGACUUCUGGUGUUCUUAGUUUUAAUGUCUUUGAAUUUUAUUUAUGUCUUGAGUUUAGUAAGAUUUAUGAAAUAUUUAGUUGGUUUGUUAUGACUACCGAGAGGU